UGAGGAAUAUUGGUCAAUGGGCGAGAGCCUGAACCAGCCAAGUAGCGUGCAGGAUGACGGCCCUAUGGGUUGUAAACUGCUUUUAUGUGGGGAUAAAGUGCGUGACGUGUCAUGCAUUGCAGGUACCACAUGAAUAAGGACCGGCUAAUUCCGUGCCAGCAGCCGCGGUAAUACGGAAGGUCCGGGCGUUAUCCGGAUUUAUUGGGUUUAAAGGGAGCGUAGGCUGUCUAUUAAGCGUGUUGUGAAAUUUACCGGCUCAACCGGUGGCUUGCAGCGCGAACUGGUCGACUUGAGUAUGCAGGAAGUAGGCGGAAUUCAUGGUGUAGAGGUGAAAUGCUUAGAUAUCAUGACGAACUCCGAUUGCGCAGGCAGCUUACUGUAGCAUAACUGACGCUGAUGCUCGAAAGUGCGGGUAUCAAACAGG
This 424-nucleotide ribosomal RNA is filed under the name Fusobacteriota bacterium. RNAcentral describes it as "Fusobacteria bacterium partial 16S ribosomal RNA". It matches the Rfam family "Bacterial small subunit ribosomal RNA", at positions 355 to 776 of the family's 1533-position model. Lineage: Bacteria; Fusobacteriati; Fusobacteriota. The record is from RNAcentral.